Molecule: ribosomal RNA, 480 nt
Filed under: uncultured bacterium
Lineage: Bacteria
Description: partial 16S ribosomal RNA
Rfam family: Bacterial small subunit ribosomal RNA
Source: RNAcentral
GACGAACGCUGGCGGCGUGCUUAACACAUGCAAGUCGAACGAUGAAGAAAAGAAUUGAAGCUUCGGCAGAAAUUCAUUUCGGAUUAGUGGCAGACGGGUGAGUAACGCGUGAGCAACCUACCUCUUACAAAGGGAUAGCCUCGGGAAACCGGGAUUAAUACCAUAUAACAUUGCGACGAAGCAUUUCGAUGCAAUCAAAGCUACGGCGGUAAGAGAUGGGCUCGCGUCCCAUUAACCAGAUGGUGAGGUAACGGCUCACCAUAGUAACGAUGGGUAACCGGCCUGAGAGGGUGAACGGUCACACUGGAGCUGAGACACGGUCCAGACUCCUACGGGAGGCAGCAGUGGGGAAUAUUGCACAAUGGAGGGAACUCUGAUGCAGCGACGCCGCGUGAGUGAUGAAGGAAUUCGUUUCGUAAAACUCUGUUCUAUGGGAAGAAAAGGACUGUACCAUAGGAGAAAGCUCCGGCUAAAUACGUG